UGGGGAAUUUUGGACAAUGGGCGCAAGCCUGAUCCAGCCAUACCGCGUGAGUGAAGAAGGCCUUCGGGUUGUAAAGCUCUUUCAGACGGAAAGAAACGGUUACGGCUAAUACCCGUGACUAAUGACGGUACCGUAAGAAGAAGCACCGGCUAACUACGUGCCAGCAGCCGCGGUAAUACGUAGGGUGCGAGCGUUAAUCGGAAUUACUGGGCGUAAAGCGUGCGCAGGCAGUUUGGUAAGACAGAUGUGAAAUCCCCGGGCUUAACCUGGGAACUGCAUUUGUGACUGCCAGACUAGAGUGUAGCAGAGGGGGGUAGAAUUCCACGUGUAGCAGUGAAAUGCGUAGAUAUGUGGAGGAAUACCGAUGGCGAAGGCAGCCCCCUGGGCUAACACUGACGCUCAUGCACGAAAGCGUGGGGAGCAAACAGGAUUAGAUACCCCCGUAGUCCCUGAGCGGGCUGGCAAGGCGCAU
RNAcentral lists this ribosomal RNA (472 nucleotides) under uncultured bacterium. RNAcentral's name for it is "bacterial SSU rRNA". It matches the Rfam family "Bacterial small subunit ribosomal RNA", at positions 355 to 825 of the family's 1533-position model. The record is from RNAcentral.